Molecule: long non-coding RNA, 227 nt
Organism: Clupea harengus (Atlantic herring)
Lineage: Eukaryota; Metazoa; Chordata; Actinopteri; Clupeiformes; Clupeidae
Exons: 3
Source: RefSeq, a predicted model, not a curated record
GGUGUCCAAGUCCUCACUGCCUCAGGCCACUGUGACUCCUCAACCCCUGCUCUGGUGACCCUGCUCCAGGCAGUGAGGACCCCGCUGAGGGCUGAGAACUUCUCCUUCCUGCUGGACGAGUUGGUGUCCAAUGUGACGCUGUACAUCACAGGGUCCUCACCUGCGUUUACUCUCUACAGUCCCACAGGCGAGUCACAGAGCCAUGAGGUGACAGAGGGACUUCUGGG